RNAcentral lists this long non-coding RNA (202 nucleotides) under Mytilus galloprovincialis (Mediterranean mussel). The record is from RNAcentral. Lineage: Eukaryota; Metazoa; Mollusca; Bivalvia; Mytilida; Mytilidae.
CAAGACCUCAAGACAAGUGGUAUAUUUCAAAAGAGGACUGUUUUAGCAUUCUCAAAUGAUUCACGUGAAUAUAAAUAUCAAGAGUUGGUGACACCAUAUGCUUGGGCAUAUAUCCUGAAACAGUUUUCAUUCAGGUCUGAGGUAAAACUGGAGCAGAAAGAGAGUGAUGAUAGAGAAAUUAUAUGGACAGCUACAACAAGCC